Molecule: transfer RNA, 68 nt
Filed under: Austinograea sp. PX-2020
Lineage: Eukaryota; Metazoa; Arthropoda; Malacostraca; Decapoda; Bythograeidae
Description: tRNA-Leu
Source: RNAcentral
ACUAUUUUGGCAGAUAAUAUGUGCUAGACUUAGGAUUUAGUUAAAUAGAGAUGAUUCUAUAAAUAGUU